Long non-coding RNA from Lagenorhynchus albirostris (white-beaked dolphin), 859 nucleotides. RefSeq lists it as uncharacterized. The record is from RefSeq and is a predicted model, not a curated record. NCBI's taxonomy places the organism in Eukaryota, Metazoa, Chordata, Mammalia, Artiodactyla, Delphinidae. The transcript has 3 exons.
CCCCAAGACUUAGAAAUCUCGGCGGGCUACCGAGUCCUCAUCCCGGCCUUUCCCAGUGAUCGGUGGUCCUUCACCCCUACCCCACAAAGGGUCCCAUUCUCCUUGCCGCUCCCGGAUUCGCUGUCCCGGGAGUUUCACUUCCUGCUAUCUCUGAACAAGGGCGGGGGAGCGCUCUCAGGCACGAAUAGAGAAUUCCUCUCUGGCACACAAGGGAUCUCCGGAGACUUGGGGAUCAGGAGGUCUUAGUCUCUGCGCUCCCCCUCCCCCAGUUCUCCUGCCUCCUGGGCAGUGGAGAACUCCAUCCAUCGCCCUUCUACAGUGCCCUCCCGCCGUUCCACGGCACCAGGGACCCCGCUCUCCGUACCUGUGCACAAGGUGCUGAGAAAGAGCCACACGAAGACGACAGUACCCCAGCCCGGGGUGGCCGGGCAGGAGCCCAGCCGCCCCCAGAAGAGCCGGCGGGCCAAAGGCGCCAUCUCGCCGGUCUGGGCGAGUUGGGCCCGAGCGUCCCCUCCCAGGAUUUUAACUAGAGGACAUAUCGUGGACGAAGAGCACGCUUCCAGCUUUCGGGGAGAAACUUGCUUGACCCACUGUGGAUCUCCGAGCCACUCCACCCCCCGUGGCUCUGGGGAAUGGAUCGGCCCAGAAUCCGCCUGCCAAUGCAGGGCACACGGGUUGGAGCCCUGGUCUGGGAAGAUCCCACAUGCCGCGGAGCAACUAAGCCCAUGCGCCACAACUACUGAAGCCCGUGCUCCACAACAAGAGAAGCUACCACAAUGAGAAGCCCGCGCACCACAACGAAGAGUAGCCCGCGCUCGCCGCAACUAGAGAAAGCCCGCAUGCAGCAACGAAGACCCGA